Molecule: ribosomal RNA, 497 nt
Filed under: uncultured bacterium
Lineage: Bacteria
Description: partial 16S ribosomal RNA
Rfam family: Bacterial small subunit ribosomal RNA
Source: RNAcentral
GAUGAACGCUGGCGGCGUGCCUAAUACAUGCAAGUCGAGCGAACAGAUAAGGAGCUUGCUCCUUUGACGUUAGCGGCGGACGGGUGAGUAACACGUGGGUAACCUACCUAUAAGACUGGGAUAACUUCGUGAAACCGGAGCUAAUACCGGAUAAUAUUUCGAACCGCAUGGUUCGAUAGUGAAAGAUGGUUUUGCUAUCACUUAUAGAUGGACCCGCGCCGUAUUAGCUAGUUGGUAAGGUAACGGCUUACCAAGGCGACGAUACGUAGCCGACCUGAGAGGGUGAUCGGCCACACUGGAACUGAGACACGGUCCAGACUCCUACGGGAGGCAGCAGUAGGGAAUCUUCCGCAAUGGGCGAAAGCCUGACGGAGCAACGCCGCGUGAGUGAUGAAGGUCUUCGGAUCGUAAAACUCUGUUAUUAGGGAAGAACAUACGUGUAAGUAACUGUGCACGUCUUGACGGUACCUAAUCAGAAAGCCACGGCUAACUACGUG